This 448-nucleotide ribosomal RNA is filed under the name uncultured bacterium. Its description in RNAcentral is "bacterial SSU rRNA". It matches the Rfam family "Bacterial small subunit ribosomal RNA", at positions 330 to 792 of the family's 1533-position model. The record is from RNAcentral.
CCCAGACUCCUACGGGAGGCAGCAGUGGGGAAUAUUGGGCAAUGGGCGCAAGCCUGACCCAGCAACGCCGCGUGAAGGAAGAAGGCUUUCGGGUUGUAAACUUCUUUUAUGAGGGACGAAAGAAAUGACGGUACCUCAUGAAUAAGCCACGGCUAACUACGCGCCAGCAGCCGCGGUAAUACGUAGGUGGCAAGCGUUAUCCGGAUUUACUGGGUGUAAAGGGCGUGUAGGCGGGACUGCAAGUCAGAUGUGAAAACUCAGGGCUCAACCCUGAGCCUGCAUUUGAAACUGUGUUUCUUGAGUGCUGGAGAGGCAAGCGGAAUUCCGUGUGUAGCGGUGAAAUGCGUAGAUAUACGGAGGAACACCAGUGGCGAAGGCGGUCUGCUGGACAGCAACUGACGCUGAGGCGCGAAAGCGUGGGGAGCAAACAGGAUUAGAUACCCGGGUA